Molecule: long non-coding RNA, 104 nt
Organism: Limulus polyphemus (Atlantic horseshoe crab)
Lineage: Eukaryota; Metazoa; Arthropoda; Merostomata; Xiphosura; Limulidae
Exons: 3
Source: RefSeq, a predicted model, not a curated record
AACAAAUUGGUCAUGGAGCCAGGACAGAGCGUGUUGAAAGGAUGACUGCCAGAACAAUAAUCGCCAGUUGCUGACAUCACAGUCUUUCUGAAACUUUACUGUUC